Long non-coding RNA from Brachypodium distachyon (stiff brome), 1294 nucleotides. RefSeq lists it as uncharacterized. NCBI's taxonomy places the organism in Eukaryota, Viridiplantae, Streptophyta, Magnoliopsida, Poales, Poaceae. The transcript has 2 exons. The record is from RefSeq and is a predicted model, not a curated record.
UCUUUGAAAAUGCACGUUUGAGUCCUUAUUGUUUCAUAAGCGAUUCAUCUCAGGUCCUAUACUGGCUCUGUCACGUGCCGCCUUCCUACGUGGCUUUUCGGGCCCACUCGACAGGUGCCAACGUGGACUGGUUUUCGCAAAUAAACCCCUGGCUCCCUCUCUUUGCUCCCCCAUGACCCCUCUCCUCUUUCUCUUCUUCCCCAUCUCCGGUCCUCCUCGCCGCACUGCUCCGCCCGUCCCGUCCAGGUCGUCCCCUCGCCGCCCCCUCUUCUGGCUCCUGCUUGUGCUGACGGAGCAACCCUGCAGCAGGUCUGCUGGCUAUCUCCCUACCAUCUCCCUUUUCCCCUCCGUGAUGCAAUGGAAGCUGUGGCAGCAAGCAGCGGCGGUGCUACAAAUCCUAGGCGGUGGUAGCAUCAACAGAAGCAGUAGCAGCAAGCAGCGGCGGCGCUAGAAAUCCUAGGCUCACCGCUCGCCGACUCUGCCAUCGCCUAGGCGCGCCGUCGCUGGAGUUGGGGAAGACAGGACGCGCGGGGGACCCCACAGCCGGCGUCGCGCCGCCGCUCCCGAUCUGCUUCCUCGCGUCCAUCCUCGCCUCUCCACCGCGCGCGGGAGCUAUGUGUGGACACCCAGAGCUCGCCGGUUCCCUCGCCUGCGCCUCCCGUGCCCCGGAAUCGCUCCGCGUCGAAGCUCCUCCGCUGCCGCCGCAAGGUCGUCGUCACGGGCCUCCUCCUCCGCCUCCCGGUCGAAGCCGACGCUACUCGCGCUUUGCCUACUCGCCGCAGACGCCACGGAAGUGGAGACCGUGAGAGAGAGAGAGAGAGAGGCACAUACCCGGCAUUCUUCAAGUCAGUUGGUACCUUGUCCAAUUUGGCAUAUAUUUCUUUGCUCGUAGGCUACAAAUUCGUGGAUUACUACUGAAGAACCUCUCUGUAAGUCUCACACUCACUUUGUGUUGUUGUCUUUCCAGUGACAAUUACUUGCUAUAAUUGCAGGCUCAUCUUAUCGAAGGAAUAAUCGAUGAAGUGGACCGAACUAUGAUCUUUUCGUGGGUGCAAAGGAGCAUCCACCAAGUGAAAUCCUUGUGUGACCGGCUGACACCUGGGUCGGAUAGGUGCCCACGACUUUGCUAUCUGUCGAAGCCGAGACACCAGACUUAAUGGUUGUGACCUUAUAAAGUGAAUUGAGAAUGAAAUUCGAAAUUCAUAUUGAUUCUUACUACGGUGCAGGGUCGCCAAACCUAGAAAGAUUUGUAAACCUUAUAAAAUGAAUUGAGUAUUUUGUUUUGGACGUGGAA